RNAcentral lists this ribosomal RNA (1390 nucleotides) under uncultured bacterium. RNAcentral describes it as "bacterial SSU rRNA". It matches the Rfam family "Bacterial small subunit ribosomal RNA". The record is from RNAcentral.
UUUGAUCCUGGCUCAGAUUGAACGCUGGCGGCAGGCCUAACACAUGCAAGUCGAACGGCAGCACAGAAGAGCUUGCUCUUUGGGUGGCGAGUGGCGGACGGGUGAGUAAUGUCUGGGAAACUGCCCGAUGGAGGGGGAUAACUACUGGAAACGGUAGCUAAUACCGCAUAACGUCGCAAGACCAAAGUGGGGGACCUUCGGGCCUCACACCAUCGGAUGUGCCCAGAUGGGAUUAGCUAGUAGGUGGGGUAAUGGCUCACCUAGGCGACGAUCCCUAGCUGGUCUGAGAGGAUGACCAGCCACACUGGAACUGAGACACGGUCCAGACUCCUACGGGAGGCAGCAGUGGGGAAUAUUGCACAAUGGGCGCAAGCCUGAUGCAGCCAUGCCGCGUGUAUGAAGAAGGCCUUCGGGUUGUAAAGUACUUUCAGCGGGGAGGAAGGCGGUGAGGUUAAUAACCUCGCCGAUUGACGUUACCCGCAGAAGAAGCACCGGCUAACUCCGUGCCAGCAGCCGCGGUAAUACGGAGGGUGCAAGCGUUAAUCGGAAUUACUGGGCGUAAAGCGCACGCAGGCGGUCUGUUAAGUCAGAUGUGAAAUCCCCGGGCUUAACCUGGAACUGCAUUUGAAACUGGCAGGCUUGAGUCUCGUAGAGGGGGGUAGAAUUCCAGGUGUAGCGGUGAAAUGCGUAGAGAUCUGGAGGAAUACCGGUGGCGAAGGCGGCCCCCUGGACGAAGACUGACGCUCAGGUGCGAAAGCGUGGGGAGCAAGCAGGAUUAGAUACCCUGGUAGUCCACGCCGUAAACGAUGUCGACUUGGAGGUUGUGCCCUUGAGGCGUGGCUUCCGGAGCUAACGCGUUAAGUCGACCGCCUGGGGAGUACGGCCGCAAGGUUAAAACUCAAAUGAAUUGACGGGGGCCCGCACAAGCGGUGGAGCAUGUGGUUUAAUUCGAUGCAACGCGAAGAACCUUACCUGGCCUUGACAUCCAGAGAACUUAGCAGAGAUGCUUUGGUGCCUUCGAGAACUCUGAGACAGGUGCUGCAUGGCUGUCGUCAGCUCGUGUUGUGAAAUGUUGGGUUAAGUCCCGCAACGAGCGCAACCCUUAUCCUUUGUUGCCAGCGGUUCGGCCGGGAACUCAAAGGAGACUGCCGGUGAUAAACCGGAGGAAGGUGGGGAUGACGUCAAGUCAUCAUGGCCCUUACGGCCAGGGCUACGCACGUGCUACAAUGGCGCAUACAAAGAGAAGCGACCUCGCGAGAGCAAGCGGACCUCAUAAAGUGCGUCGUAGUCCGGAUUGGAGUCUGCAACUCGACUCCAUGAAGUCGGAAUCGCUAGUAAUCGUAGAUCAGAAUGCUACGGUGAAUACGUUCCCGGGCCUUGUACACACCGC